This is a ribosomal RNA of Pteropus vampyrus (large flying fox), 119 nucleotides long. Lineage: Eukaryota; Metazoa; Chordata; Mammalia; Chiroptera; Pteropodidae. The record is from Ensembl.
GACUACGGCCAUGCUGCGCUGAACAAGCCUGAUCCCAUCUGAUCUCGGAAGCAAAGCAGGGUUGGACCUGGUUAGUACUUGUAUGGGAGACCGCCCAGGAAAACCAGGUACUGUAGGCA